AUGGGCGGGGACGAAAAAAAAGGUAAACAGGAAAACUGCCCAAACCUGCUUUGGGAGUUGAGGAGAAACUGGAUUGUCAGAGCGGGAAGAUAAAAUGAAGUUCUGAUUGGAAAUCACCCCAAAGGGCUUUGAAAGCACACUGAAACUGUGAGCCACAGGUGCUUCAGGGACUUGCAGCUCCACAAAACGGCUAUUUUAUGAGUCAUGCUCUGACGCAGACACACAUUAGUUGCCCAAGGACACUUUGACAUAUUAAAUCCCAGAGCUUCAAAAUGGAAGAUAACCACUCUACAGUUGGGCCAGAGCCACCUCCAAAAUUAUUAGGAGCUACAUGCCAGACCUGUUAAGAGGAGAACAGGAUACAUUUCUUUUCUGAUUUACUGUGCUGGUUUUUAAUGUCUCUAAUGUUUUCUUCCACACUAUCAGCAUAAAUGUAUUUAAUGUAUUUUACUGGUAUGUCAUGUGAUAGACAGACACCACAAAAGGAUGCAUAAGAGUAAGGAGAAAGAGGAAGAAAAGUAUACACGAUCUUCAUAAUUUUUAACGUGCUUGCUUCGCCUUGUCAUGAAAUUGUGCAAAUGAGCUUUUUAUGACGCAGCUAUUCGGAGGAACUGUGAGUUUUUACAACCUCUUUGCGUGAAUGACAAAGGGCGUGGAGGUUUGAAAUAUUCCUAUUUAUGUAAGAGUGUCUAAAAGGCAAUACUGUUUAUUUAAAUUGACGUUGCCAAUGCUUUGAAUCUUAAGAAAUUAUCAAAUAUGCUUAAAACUUCAACUAAAUUCUUCAUUUAAGUUAGAUUUGUCUUUUAUUUAGCAAUUACUUGCUAACACAUUAAUCUUAGAUAU
Long non-coding RNA from Girardinichthys multiradiatus, 843 nucleotides. RefSeq lists it as uncharacterized. The transcript is spliced from 3 exons. The record is from RefSeq and is a predicted model, not a curated record. NCBI's taxonomy places the organism in Eukaryota, Metazoa, Chordata, Actinopteri, Cyprinodontiformes, Goodeidae.